UACGCAGGGGGCUAGCGUUGUUCGGAAUCACUGGGCGUAAAGCGCACGUAGGCGGAUUCUUAAGUCGGUGGUGAAAUCCUGGAGCUCAACUCCAGAACUGCCUUCGAUACUGAGAGUCUCGAGUCCGGGAGAGGUGAGUGGAACUGCGAGUGUAGAGGUGAAAUUCGUAGAUAUUCGCAAGAACACCAGUGGCGAAGGCGGCUCACUGGCCCGGUACUGACGCUGAGGUGCGAAAGCGUGGGGAGCAAACAGG
RNAcentral lists this ribosomal RNA (253 nucleotides) under uncultured bacterium. RNAcentral describes it as "partial 16S ribosomal RNA". It matches the Rfam family "Bacterial small subunit ribosomal RNA", at positions 524 to 776 of the family's 1533-position model. The record is from RNAcentral.